GACAGCAUCCAUAUCACCCUGCAGGCCAAGACUGUUUGGCUACUGAAGCUAAGCAGGGUUGAGCCUGGUCAGUACCUGGAUGGGAGACCUCCUGGGAAAACUAGGUUGCUGUUGGAA
Molecule: ribosomal RNA, 117 nt
Filed under: Sinocyclocheilus anshuiensis
Lineage: Eukaryota; Metazoa; Chordata; Actinopteri; Cypriniformes; Cyprinidae
Source: RNAcentral